This 376-nucleotide ribosomal RNA is filed under the name uncultured organism. RNAcentral describes it as "partial 16S ribosomal RNA". It matches the Rfam family "Bacterial small subunit ribosomal RNA", at positions 527 to 896 of the family's 1533-position model. The record is from RNAcentral.
GAACCGUCCAAACGUUUAUUCGGAAUCACUGGGCUUAAAGGGUGCGUAGGCGGCCCGGCAAGUUGGGUGUGAAAUCCCUCGGCUCAACCGAGGAAUAGCGCCCAAAACUGCCGGACUUGAGGGAGACAGAGGUGAGUGGAACUAUGGGUGGAGCGGUGAAAUGCGUUGAUAUCCGUAGGAACACCGGUGGCGAAAGCGGCUCACUGGGUCUCUUCUGACGCUGAGGCACGAAAGCUAGGGGAGCGAACGGGAUUAGAUACCCCGGGUAGUCCUAGCUGUAAACCGAUGAGCACUAGAUCGUAGAGAUCUCCCAUGUCUUUACGGUCGAACUGAAAAGGUUAAGUGCUCCGCCUUGGGGAGUAUGGCCGCAAGGCUG